RNAcentral lists this ribosomal RNA (851 nucleotides) under uncultured bacterium. RNAcentral's name for it is "bacterial SSU rRNA". It matches the Rfam family "Bacterial small subunit ribosomal RNA", at positions 50 to 902 of the family's 1533-position model. The record is from RNAcentral.
CCUAAAUGCAGUCGAGCGGGACCUCUUCAGGGGUAACCCUGGAGAGGGGAGAGCGGCGAACGGGUGAGUAACACGUGGGCAACCUGCCCCAGACUCUGGGAUAACCCCGGGAAACCGGGGCUAAUACCGGAUACUCCGAUCGGAUCGCAUGGUCCGACCGGGAAAGCUCCGACGGUCUGGGAUGGGCCCGCGGCCUAUCAGCUUGUUGGUGGGGUAACGGCCUACCAAGGCGACGACGGGUAGCUGGUCUGAGAGGACGGCCAGCCACACUGGGACUGAGACACGGCCCAGACUCCUACGGGAGGCAGCAGUGGGGAAUCUUGCGCAAUGGGCGAAAGCCUGACGCAGCGACGCCGCGUGGGGGAUGAAGGCCUUCGGGUUGUAAACCGCUUUCGGCAGGGACGAAGCCGCAAGGUGACGGUACCUGCAGAAGAAGCUCCGGCUAACUACGUGCCAGCAGCCGCGGUAAGACGUAGGGAGCGAGCGUUGUCCGGAUUCAUUGGGCGUAAAGCGCGCGUAGGCGGCCUCGCAAGUCGGUUGUGAAAUCCCGGGGCUCAACCCCGGGACUGCGUCCGAUACCGCGAGGCUGGAGGUAGGUAGGGGAGAUCGGAAUUCCUGGUGUAGCGGUGAAAUGCGCAGAUAUCAGGAGGAACACCGGUGGCGAAGGCGGAUCUCUGGGCCUUACCUGACGCUGAGGCGCGAAAGCUAGGGGAGCGAACAGGAUUAGAUACCCUGGUAGUCCUAGCCGUAAACGUUGGGUGCUAGGUGUGGGCGGAUAUCGACCCCGUCCGUGCCGAAGCUAACGCAUUAAGCACCCCCGCCUGGGGAGUACGGCCGCAAGGCUAAAACUC